GGCUCUUGACCUGAAUCUCUCUUGAGAUUUGAUGCAGUUGGUUAACCGAUAUAAAUGCGUAUAUUGCGCUGCAUGGUAAACACUGGUAACUUCUACUGCAGUAAUUUUAUCCAACUCAGUGUCAUUUAGUUAGCAGAAAAAAUACUACUUACUUUUGGUUGAUUGUUGUUGUGUCCUUCCUGUGAGAGCCAGGUGCACCGCGUCGUUUCCCAUCAGAUCCACUGCCAUGCCCGUCAGAAGAGCCGAUUUACACCGAUUGCAGAAUGCUGGUUCAGAAUCUCCAUCCACCGGUCUCAGCCAAAAGGUGGCGUCUUCUUGUUGUGGCACACUGCACAUGGACGCCUUUACAGUAUCAAAAUAACGACGCGCUCUACGAUUUUAGACACUAAAGUGUGUGUGAUUGCUGCGAAUCAGCAAUUUGUUUGACACACCACGGUCAGCCUACCAGCUACCGCCUUACGCAUGAAGUGGGCCAUCGUCGCUAUCGACUGCACCGAUAGGCGCGCUAAUAGACAGCCAGGCACAUAAAAUAGUUUAUUUUCAAUUAAGUAAGUAAGCUGUGCAAUAAAACGUAAAGCGGGAGAGAGAGGUGGUCACUUUAAUUACCGGCCGCAGCAAACCUUUAAAGAAGGUAGCGGAUGUAGGUAAGACGUGGCCGCGGCAGGCAUCUGACAUGUGUGAAGUGUGAGUCAUAGACAAAUGCGGCGGAGAGAAUCCGGUAAUUCUUCAAAAUAAAACAUCGUUCAGCAUCAGAUAAUACAUAAAAGAUAUAAGAAAUAAUGUAAGUUCUUGCUGGGCCUGAAAAAAGGGACAAAGCCGAAAGAAAAAGAAGAUGCAUUCUUUCUGGGGGGCCCGGCACGAUUGCUGCAAUACCAUCUGUUGCCAGUAGUCGGACCAUGAGCCUGACCUCCGCUGUUUUAGUAGGAAAAGGAGUCGAUUUUUGACUUUAACUGGCUGAGAUUGAAUGAUCCAUUUUCAAACAGCUGUGUGUCUGGGUCAUGAGCUGCUCACCUUUUCACAACAACGGGCCUGGCCCAACUGACAGAGGUCUCCUCAACCCCUGGGAUCCACAGGAGAUAUGACCACAGGUCUGGACAAAGGCUUUCAACAAUCCACAUCAUCUCUACCUGAUGUACCACCAAGAAAAUUAAACAUAUCUGACAGGAUCAUCUUAAAUACUCCAAAGUACAUGUGAAAGCAAACAGCCACGUUCAUGUAAAAAGUUUUAAAGAUGUUUUUCUCCACCAACCACACUCUCCUGUGUCUUCAGGAUUAAAGCCAAGGUUGUUUUCUAACUUCUGCCAAACCGAGUCGGUCUACGUCACACGUACGUCUUCUAACCAUCAUUAAACACAGAGCUGAAAGACACUUUUUAAUGAGUAGGUUUUUUACAAAAUGUCAAGUUGCCUUAGGUUUCCCUUGUACAGUAUGUUGUUGGUCAUCUUGUGAUGUAAAAUAAACUUUUUCAAAAACCUUAGUUGAACUGCUGUUAAAUGUUUUCCAGUAAUUCUAUCAGCACAGAGCUAACAUUUUUCUACAACUACACACAGCCUGCAAAACCACUAGUGUCAACUCAACAAUGAGUUUAUGUUUGCAUCUCACACCUACACUUUCAUGCAAUUAGUAGUGAUUCACACUCCAUAUGUGACUGAAAAAAAAAAAAAAAAA
This is a long non-coding RNA of Cynoglossus semilaevis (tongue sole), 1668 nucleotides long. RefSeq lists it as uncharacterized. The transcript has 3 exons. NCBI's taxonomy places the organism in Eukaryota, Metazoa, Chordata, Actinopteri, Pleuronectiformes, Cynoglossidae. The record is from RefSeq and is a predicted model, not a curated record.